UACGUAGGGUGCAAGCGUUAUCCGGAAUUAUUGGGCGUAAAGGGCGCGUAGGCGGCUAGAUGUGUCAAAGGUGAAAUCCCUCGGCUCAACUGAGGAACUGCCUUUGAAACUGUCUGGCUUGAGGCCGGGAGAGGGUAGCGGAAUUCCCAGUGUAGCGGUGAAAUGCGUAGAUAUUGGGAGGAACACCAGUGGCGAAGGCGGCUACCUGGACCGGUUCUGACGCUGAGGCGCGAAAGCGUGGGUAGCAAACAGG
RNAcentral lists this ribosomal RNA (253 nucleotides) under uncultured bacterium. Its description in RNAcentral is "partial 16S ribosomal RNA". It matches the Rfam family "Bacterial small subunit ribosomal RNA", at positions 524 to 776 of the family's 1533-position model. The record is from RNAcentral.